This 246-nucleotide ribosomal RNA is filed under the name uncultured bacterium. RNAcentral's name for it is "partial 16S ribosomal RNA". It matches the Rfam family "Bacterial small subunit ribosomal RNA", at positions 110 to 354 of the family's 1533-position model. The record is from RNAcentral.
UAAACGCGUGAGCAACCUGGCUAUAAGAGGGGAAUAACAGUUAGAAAUGACUGCUAAUACCGCAUAAGCUGAUAAAGUCGCAUGAUUUAGUCAGAAAAGGAGCAAUCCGCUUAUAGAUGGGCUCGCGUCCGAUUAGCUAGUUGGUGGGGUAGAAGCCUACCAAGGCGACGAUCGGUAGCCGGACUGAGAGGUUGAACGGCCACAUUGGGACUGAGAUACGGCCCAGACUCCUACGGAAGGCAGCAG